GUGGGGAAUAUUGGACAAUGGGCGCAAGCCUGAUCCAGCCAUGCCGCGUGAGUGAUGAAGGCCUUAGGGUUGUAAAGCUCUUUCAGUGGGGACGAUAAUGACGGUACCCACAGAAGAAGCCCCGGCUAACUUAGUGCCAGCAGCCGCGGUAAUACGAAGGGGGCUAGCGUUGUUCGGAUUUACUGGGCGUAAAGCGCACGUAGGCGGAUCGUUAAGUCGGGGGUGAAAUCCUGGAGCUCAACACCAGAACUGCCUUCGUUACUGGCGAUAUUGAGUCCGGAAGAGGUGAGUGGAACUCCUAGUGUAGAGGUGGAAUUCGUAGAUAUUAGGAAGAACACCAGUGGCGAAGGCGGCUCACUGGUCCGGUACUGACGCUGAGGUGCGAAAGCGUGGGGAGCAAACAGGAUUAGAUACCCGGGUAGUCC
RNAcentral lists this ribosomal RNA (425 nucleotides) under uncultured bacterium. RNAcentral describes it as "bacterial SSU rRNA". It matches the Rfam family "Bacterial small subunit ribosomal RNA", at positions 354 to 796 of the family's 1533-position model. The record is from RNAcentral.